GCUUGAGGUCUAGUUGUCGCUGGACGAUUCUCCCACAGCACGAGUGCAAGCACUGCCCCAUCGCUAGGCCCCUUUUGGGAAACGAUUUCUACCUUCCUUUGGGUCCACUCAAAAUCCAAAAACCUUAUCCUUGCGUCUUGUAGUUCGCUCUGAGGCCGCACAAUGAGUGCCAUUGAUUCUCACUUAUCUUCUUAUUGGAAAAUAUAUCCCAAAGUC
This 216-nucleotide long non-coding RNA is filed under the name Elaeis guineensis (African oil palm). Its description in RNAcentral is "long non-coding RNA (EGUI_LNC007376)". Lineage: Eukaryota; Viridiplantae; Streptophyta; Magnoliopsida; Arecales; Arecaceae. The record is from RNAcentral.